CCCUUAGAUGUUCUGGGCCGCACGCGUGCUACACUGAUGCAUUCAACGAGUGUACCUUGGCCGAGAGGCCUGGGCAAUCUUUUGAACGUGCAUCGUGAUAGGGAUAGAUUAUUGCAAUUAUUAAUCUUGAACGAGGAAUUCCUAGUAAACGCAGUUCAUCAAACUGCAUUGAUUACGUCCCUGCCCUUUGUACACACCGCCCGUCGCACCUACCGAUUGGAUGGUCCGGUGAAGCCUCGGGAUUGUGGCGGUUGCCUUUAUUGGUGGCCGCCGCGAGAACUUGUCUAAACCUUAUCAUCUAGAGGAAGGUGAAGUCGUAACA
Molecule: ribosomal RNA, 322 nt
Filed under: uncultured eukaryote
Lineage: Eukaryota
Description: partial 18S ribosomal RNA
Rfam family: Eukaryotic small subunit ribosomal RNA
Source: RNAcentral